Erinaceus europaeus (western European hedgehog) is the source of this 80-nucleotide non-coding RNA. NCBI's taxonomy places the organism in Eukaryota, Metazoa, Chordata, Mammalia, Eulipotyphla, Erinaceidae. The record is from Rfam.
UGCAUACAAUGAUGAUGGCAUAGUUCAGCAGACAAAUGGUGAUUAGUACACAUGUCUUUUGCUCCUAUCUAAUGUAUCUG